GGCCGUGUGGCGAAAUGGCAUCGCGUCUGACUACGAUAUGAAUUCAUUAAAUCAGGAGAUUGCAGGUUCGACCCCUGUCUCGGUCA
Molecule: non-coding RNA, 86 nt
Organism: Termitomyces sp. T32_za158
Lineage: Eukaryota; Fungi; Basidiomycota; Agaricomycetes; Agaricales; Lyophyllaceae
Source: the annotation of a GenBank genome assembly